UGGGGAAUUUUGGACAAUGGGCGCAAGCCUGAUCCAGCCAUGCCGCGUGCGGGAAGAAGGCCUUCGGGUUGUAAACCGCUUUGUCNGGGAAGAAAUCUUCUGAGUUAAUACCUCGGGAGGAUGACGGUACCUGAAGAAUAAGCACCGGCUAACUACGUGCCAGCAGCCGCGGUAAUACGUAGGGUGCAAGCGUUAAUCGGAAUUACUGGGCGUAAAGCGUGCGCAGGCGGUUUUGUAAGACAGAGGUGAAAUCCCCGGGCUCAACCUGGGAACUGCCUUUGUGACUGCAAGGCUUGAGUGCGGCAGAGGGGGGAUGGAAUUCCGCGUGUAGCAGUGAAAAUGCGUAGAUAUGCGGAGGAACACCGAUGGCGAAGGCAAUCCCCUGGGCCUGCACUGACGCUCAUGCACGAAAGCGUGGGGAGCAAACAGGAUUAGAUAGCCCUGGUAGUCCACGCCCUAAACGAUGUCAACUGGUU
RNAcentral lists this ribosomal RNA (476 nucleotides) under uncultured bacterium. Its description in RNAcentral is "partial 16S ribosomal RNA". It matches the Rfam family "Bacterial small subunit ribosomal RNA", at positions 355 to 821 of the family's 1533-position model. The record is from RNAcentral.